RNA transcript from Pyrus x bretschneideri (Chinese white pear), 1276 nucleotides. It is a transcript of the gene named agamous-like MADS-box protein AGL62, with no coding region annotated. The transcript is spliced from 2 exons. The record is from RefSeq and is a predicted model, not a curated record. NCBI's taxonomy places the organism in Eukaryota, Viridiplantae, Streptophyta, Magnoliopsida, Rosales, Rosaceae.
UUCUUUUUACAGGCCAAUUACUAAGAAAAACAAUUCUUUCAUCAUUUUCCAAAUGGCCAUGGAGGGAAAGCAAACUAGAGGUAGGCAAAAGAUUGAGAUGAAGAGGAUCGAAAACGAAGAGGAUCUUCUUGUUUCUUUCUCGAAACGGAGAUCCGGCGUCUUCAAAAAAGCUAGCGAGAUGAUAACACUAUGUGGCGGUGAGGUGGGAAUUGUGGUUUUCUCACCAUCUGGCAAGCCUUUCUCGUAUGGUCAUCCAUCUGUCGACAAUGUCAUCAAUCGGUUUCUGGACCAAAAUCCACCCGAAAACGAUGACUACACUAUUCAGUUCAUGGAGAAUCAUCGACAGAUGAGAAUUUCCGAGGCUAUCGAACAGUACAACGAGCUUAUCAACCAGUUAGAAGAUGUGCAGGAGCGACAGAAAUCGCUCCUAAGGAAAGCCAGGAGAAGGAGGAAUCGAGAGCACCUGUGGUGGAGUGCACCCCUUGAUGAGCUUGGGGUGGAUGAGCUCAAACAAGUCUAUGUAUCCUCGGCGGAGAUACACAUGACAAUCUCCAACCAUCUUAAGGAGAGGAGUACCAAUAUUUUUGGUGCCUCCUCUUCUGGAUCUGUCCAACAAACCAAUCCCAACUUUGAUGCAAAUCCAAGUGGGACUGGUUCUUAUGCAUUUCCUCCUGGCUACGGCCAUUAAUUUUGAAAAACCCUCCUUAAAGCUAGCUAGGGUUUUUCAAAGUAGGACACAUGAUUAGGAGGAGGCCGAUCAGAGCCGUGACUGUCCAAUUGGCGGAAGCGUUGGGAGUGCUGGAAGGUUGCUGCAUGGCGAGACAGAGGGGGUUCUCCCGCAUUGUGAUUGAGUCGGACUCUAAAGGGAUCGUUGAAUGGCUGAACGGGUGUAUUGAGCAAGGGGCUUGGGAACUGUUCCCUGUUCUUGGUAAGAUACGAAGCGAAGGUGAAUCCUUUGUUUCUUGUGACUGGUCUUGGGUGCCAAGAUCAACUAACAAAGCGGUGGAUCAUGUGGCAUCGCAUUCUAGGGUGGAGAUGUGCAACUUGUAUGGGUCCGUAGACCCCAUCGUAGUUUGUUCGUAUCCUAAACAAAGAUGGUUUUCCUUGCCCUCCAUUCAAUUUGUUGUGUAUGUUUUGUACAUAUAAGGGUGACAUGUGGUUUCCAUGUCGUGUUCUUGCCCUUCUAGUGUUGUUUCUAUUUUGAUGUUGUUAGCCUGUGUGGCUUUCUGUAUCCCGGUUUUGGCUUUGGCCUUGGUUAAUGAUAUUCUCCAGUUCU